Molecule: regulatory RNA element, 187 nt
Organism: Alkalibacterium sp. AK22
Lineage: Bacteria; Bacillati; Bacillota; Bacilli; Lactobacillales; Carnobacteriaceae
Rfam family: PyrR binding site
About the family: This family represents the PyrR binding site and terminator structure. This RNA structure is found upstream of a variety of genes involved in pyrimidine biosynthesis and transport.
Source: Rfam
AAGUCCUUUAAAAGAUAGUCCAGAGAGGCUAAGAAGGAGCAGCAGUUUACCGGAACUUACCAGAGAGUAACAGACCGGUAACAUAUGAACAGUACCGAUGGUUAUGACCAGCAGGCCUGUUUGUAUCCUAUUUGACCUGGUUGAAGCGGAAGCACUCUUAUUCUUUUAAGGAUAAGAGUGCUUUUUU